AUUGAACGCUGGCGGCAGGCCUAACACAUGCAAGUCGAGCGGAUGAAGGGAGCUUGCUCCUGGAUUCAGCGGCGUACGGGUGAGUAAUGCCUAGGAAUCUGCCUGGUAGUGGGGGAUAACGUCCGGAAACGGGCGCUAAUACCGCAUACGUCCUGAGGGAGAAAGUGGGGGAUCUUCGGACCUCACGCUAUCAGAUGAGCCUAGGUCGGAUUAGCUAGUUGGUGGGGUAAAGGCCUACCAAGGCGACGAUCCGUAACUGGUCUGAGAGGAUGAUCAGUCACACUCGAAAUAAGAAGCGGUCCAGACUCCUAAGGAAGCUGGUCAGAGGCAAUAUUGGCCAAUGGGCGGAAAUGAGAACGAGCAAUGCCGCGUGUGUGAAGAAGGUCUGCGGAUUGUAAAGCACUUUAAGUUGGGAGGAAGGGAAGUAAGUUAAUAACUUACUGUUUUAAAGUUACAAAAAAAAUAAGAACCGGAUAACUUCAUG
This 484-nucleotide ribosomal RNA is filed under the name uncultured bacterium. RNAcentral's name for it is "partial 16S ribosomal RNA". It matches the Rfam family "Bacterial small subunit ribosomal RNA", at positions 30 to 507 of the family's 1533-position model. The record is from RNAcentral.